UGUGGUGGUUGACUCAUUCUUAA
This 23-nucleotide microRNA is filed under the name Populus tomentosa. RNAcentral's name for it is "pto-smR11". Lineage: Eukaryota; Viridiplantae; Streptophyta; Magnoliopsida; Malpighiales; Salicaceae. The record is from RNAcentral.